RNAcentral lists this ribosomal RNA (334 nucleotides) under Dictyogenus fontium. RNAcentral's name for it is "partial small subunit ribosomal RNA". It matches the Rfam family "Bacterial small subunit ribosomal RNA", at positions 919 to 1487 of the family's 1533-position model. Lineage: Eukaryota; Metazoa; Arthropoda; Insecta; Plecoptera; Perlodidae. The record is from RNAcentral.
UUUUAGUCCUUUCAGAGGAACCUGUCCCGUAAUCGAUAUUCCACGUUAAAUCUUACUUAAUUUGGUCAUUCAGUUUGUAUAUCGCCGUCGUCAGAAUGUCCUAUUAGGGUUCAAAUUUUCUCUAAUUUAUAUAUUGAAAAGAUGUCAGGUCAAGGUGCAGUUAAUGGUUAAGUGGAGGUGGGUUACAAUAAAUUUAUUUACACGGACAGUUAGUUGAAAGUUAUAGACUUGAAGGUGGAUUUGAAAGUAAUUUUGUACAGUAUAAUAUAUUGAUUUUGGCUCUAAAACAUGCACACAUCGCCCGUCGCUCUCGUUAUUUCAUAUGAGAUAAGUC